This 451-nucleotide ribosomal RNA is filed under the name uncultured bacterium. RNAcentral describes it as "partial 16S ribosomal RNA". It matches the Rfam family "Bacterial small subunit ribosomal RNA", at positions 29 to 523 of the family's 1533-position model. The record is from RNAcentral.
AGCGAACGCUGGCGGCAGGCUUAACACAUGCAAGUCGAGCGGCCGUAGCAAUACGGCAGCGGCAGACGGGAGAGUAACACGUGGGAACGUACCCUUCAGUACGGAACAACCAAGGGACACUUUGGCUAAUACCGUAUACGUCCGUGAGGAGAAAGAUUUAUCGCUGAAGGAUCGGCCCGCGUCCGAUUAGCUAGUUGGGGAGGUAACGGCUCACCAAGGCGACGAUCAGUAGCUGGUCUGAGAGGAUGAUCAGCCUCACUGGGACUGAGACACGGCCCAGACUCCUACGGGAGGCAGCAGUGGGGAAUAUUGGACAAUGGGCGCAAGCCUGAUCCAGCCAUGCCGCGUGGAUGAUGAAGGCCCUAGGGUUGUAAAGUCCUUUUAACGGGGAGGAUAAUGACGGUACCCGUAGAAUAAGCCCCGGCUAACUUCGUGCCAGCCGCCGCCGUAA